AGCCUUACCUCAGGUCUACCAUUCUCUAUGGUUCAGUGAACAUGACCGACUUCCCUCAUCUUCUUUGUUGCCAUCCUCAUGGUCAUGGUAGUAAACCACCUUGUUCUUCUUCUUCUUCUUCUUCUUCUUCUUGUUUACAGUACAGUCAACUGGAGCCUGAUGUUUCAAAAGAAGGCCGGCCGGUGGACCAACCCUGGAUGAAUAGAUGGUGGAAGAAGACAAACCGGUGGCUGAUAUCCGUCCCGGGCAUUUGAUCUCUCCAUGUGUUGCUGCAUGCUGUCAACAGAAGUGUAUCCAUCAGCUGCUGAAAGGUAGAUGAGGGUGAUGCAAGACAGUGGGUUAGUCAAGUACAGAUUGGACUUUUGUCUCCUUGCUCAGAAGAAAUCCAUCAGUUUAAGCUGCUUGUACUGCGAUGCGUUCAGAAAUGACUUCUCUGUCGUAUUUAAUGGCUAUGUCUCCACCCUAAACAAGCUGUGAUUUCCAACUCUUGCUGUCCAAUAGAGAAUACAUCUCAUUCACAAUCAAAGGGGAAACCCUUCUCGUUGGAUGCCAUCACCCCCUGUUUGUUUUGUGACAUUGCCUGGUCUCUCAAGUAGACUGCUUGACCGAACUACUAAACAUAAAUGAGUAUAUCUGAUUGCUAUUCCACUAUUGCUCUCUGGACACCAAAAUCCA
Molecule: long non-coding RNA, 675 nt
Filed under: Musa acuminata (dwarf banana)
Lineage: Eukaryota; Viridiplantae; Streptophyta; Magnoliopsida; Zingiberales; Musaceae
Description: long non-coding RNA (MACU_LNC000879)
Source: RNAcentral